GAAAGGCUCUUAGCAAGAGUAUUUCGAAAUUUCUAAGUGUGCUAAGUGUGGAGGUUGUCUUGGCCUGUGAAAGAAGAGAGGGAUUCCAAGAAACUAGAGUUCUACCAAGGUUGUGGAAGAGAUCAAGUUAAAGUGUUCAAGGCAAAAGGUUCCUCGUUACUCACCCUGAAAUGUUGUGGUUGUGGUUUCCACCUACGAUGAUCGUACUUGUACGGGAGUAGAUGGCGUUGCAGAUGAGGCAGAGAUGAAGUAGCACGACGAGAGUUAUGGGAAUGACUAUGGGGGACUUAUCAUGUUUUAAGUAAUUUUAUGUUUUUGAAUAUUGAAUUUGAUAUUUGUAAGGUUUUAACUUUAUGUUGUAAGACGCUUAAACUUUAUGUUGUAAGACGCUUA
RNAcentral lists this small RNA (393 nucleotides) under Vigna angularis var. angularis. RNAcentral's name for it is "Non-protein coding transcript". Lineage: Eukaryota; Viridiplantae; Streptophyta; Magnoliopsida; Fabales; Fabaceae. The record is from RNAcentral.